AUGCUCAAGAAACAGAGGCGCUUUCAGUUUGAACUCUACUGGCAGUUCAUCCAUGGCUUUCAGGAGGUGGUGGCAGCUGCCUGGAACAGUGUGCCAAUUAUAGCAGAUCCGGUUUAUUCUUUCAACAAGAAACUAAGGGCUGUUGCGAGGGCCUUGAAGGUGUGGAGUAAGACUAAAGUUGGUAAUCUCCAGAUGCAGCUCCUUGCGGCCCAGGAACUGAUCCUUCGAUUGGAUUGUGCUCAAGAUGACAGAACAUUAGUUGCUUAUGAGGCGGCCUUGUGCUCAAAGCUCAAAUCAAGGUGUCUGGGCCUUGCAGUCCUAUUACAGAUCAAGCAACGGCAACGCGUCAAGGUUUCUUGGUUGAAAGAUGGGAUGUCGAGCUCCAAGAUGUUCUUCAUCAAAGCUAACUCCCGCGCCAAACGAAGCGCUAUCCACUCUAUGAUCUCGCCACAUGGAUCGCUCAUUACUGACCAAGUGGGCAUCAUGAACAGCGCCGGGGAGCAUUUUUCUGCUGUUCUAGGUGCACCAAGCGUAACAGACUCCACAUUCUGCUGGGUUUUCUAA
Molecule: ribosomal RNA, 564 nt
Filed under: Triticum aestivum (bread wheat)
Lineage: Eukaryota; Viridiplantae; Streptophyta; Magnoliopsida; Poales; Poaceae
Description: partial small subunit ribosomal RNA
Source: RNAcentral